Lepisosteus oculatus (spotted gar) is the source of this 234-nucleotide non-coding RNA. Lineage: Eukaryota; Metazoa; Chordata; Actinopteri; Semionotiformes; Lepisosteidae. The record is from RefSeq and is a predicted model, not a curated record.
CCAGACUUCAGUGGAGUCUGGGAUAUACAGGAUGGCAGGUUAUCCAUUUCUGUUUCCAUCCCUGGACCCCAUGAGGAAGGGAGUUAAGCACCUCCUCUCAUUACUCUACCAUGUGAAGGAUGUAUUUUGUGAAUCUGAGCCCUGUGUGCUUCAAAUGUAACCACUGAUAAAUUUGGAAGGGAGAAAUUGCAGAGGGGUUUUGUUGUCAGGAGGGCGUUAAUCAAGACCAAAAAC